CCUACGGGUGGCAGCAGUAAGGGAUAUUGGUCAAUGGGGGAAACCCUGAACCAGCAACGCCGCGUGAGGGAAGACGGUUUUCGGAUUGUAAACCUCUGUCCUCUGUGAAGAUGAUGACGGUAGCAGAGGAGGAAGCAGCGGCUAACUAUGUGCCAGUAGCCGCGGUAAAACGUAGGGAGCGCGCGUUGUCCGGAUUCACGGGGUGUAAAGGGUGCGGAGGCGGCUUGGGAAUUUAGUAGUGAAUUCCAUGGGCUUAACCCAUGAGCUGAUGUGUAAAGUGUCGAGCUUGAGUGAAGUAGGGGUAGGCGGAAUUCCUGGGGUAGCGGUGAAAUGCGUAGAGAUCGGGAGGAACACCGGUGGCGAAGGCAGGCUACUGGGCAUUAACUGACGCUGAGGCACGAAAGCAUGGGUAGCGAACAGGAUUAGAUACCCCUGUAGUC
RNAcentral lists this ribosomal RNA (440 nucleotides) under uncultured bacterium. RNAcentral's name for it is "partial 16S ribosomal RNA". It matches the Rfam family "Bacterial small subunit ribosomal RNA", at positions 338 to 795 of the family's 1533-position model. The record is from RNAcentral.